Molecule: ribosomal RNA, 253 nt
Filed under: uncultured bacterium
Lineage: Bacteria
Description: partial 16S ribosomal RNA
Rfam family: Bacterial small subunit ribosomal RNA
Source: RNAcentral
UACGUAGGGUGCAAGCGUUAAUCGGAAUUACUGGGCGUAAAGCGUGCGCAGGCGGUUGUGUAAGACAGAUGUGAAAUCCCCGGGCUCAACCUGGGAACUGCAUUUGUGACUGCACAGCUGGAGUGCGGCAGAGGGGGAUGGAAUUCCGCGUGUAGCAGUGAAAUGCGUAGAUAUGCGGAGGAACACCGAUGGCGAAGGCAAUCCCCUGGGCCUGCACUGACGCUCAUGCACGAAAGCGUCGGGAGCAAACAGG